UUGAUUCAUUUUCGAAACGCCCGCUAGGGGCGCCGAGAAAGUCUCAGAAGUAAAAAAACCCGCGAGGGGGUAUACAAAAAGAGUUUUGGGUUGGUCCUCCGGCGGGCGCCUUGGUCCGGGGCUGCGACGCGCCCGGGGCAGAGAUCCCGCCGAGGCAACAGUUUGGUAACGUUCACAUUGGGUUUGGGAGUUGUAAACUCGGUAAUGAUCCCUCCGCUGGUUCACCAACGGAGA
RNAcentral lists this unclassified non-coding RNA (234 nucleotides) under uncultured fungus. RNAcentral describes it as "sequence contains ITS1". The record is from RNAcentral. Lineage: Eukaryota; Fungi.